RNAcentral lists this long non-coding RNA (990 nucleotides) under Cricetulus griseus (Chinese hamster). RNAcentral describes it as "lncRNA (ENSCGRG00015033087.1)". Lineage: Eukaryota; Metazoa; Chordata; Mammalia; Rodentia; Cricetidae. The record is from RNAcentral.
GUGGUGACCUUUACAAGAUUUCACGGGACUGUUCCUUCAAUAUGCAGCUCCCCAGAGGCCCCCUGCUUGGAUGCCCAUUCUUCUAGACUCAAGUCCUGCCUGCCUAAAAGAUGAGACAGGCCAGUGUCUUAUAGAGUGAACCAGUAAGUGGGGGAGGGCAGUGUUAGGAGAUAGCCCUUGUCUCCAAAUUCUUGCAUAGUAGGAGAUGAUUUUGUGUGGCUUGAAAGUCACACCUUGGUACCCCAAGUCCUUCUGCUCAUUCACACUUGUUCGGAGAGGUGACUAAUGCCAGGGAUAUGAGACCCUUCCUGGCAAAGGUGAGUUGUCGGUGGCUCCUUUCACAUUUAGCAGAGUCUGGAGGAGCCUGGGGAGGGUCACCCUAGGUUCUCCGGGCUUCCUCUUUUACUUCUCAAGCAGGCUCCUGAAAUGUGAGGCCCUCAAGACGAUCUGUCAGGCUUUCUAAGAAGGCAGAGGUCUGGGAGAGAGCAGCUGAGACCAGGAAUCACUUGUGCAGGACCUGGAGAAUGAGCACGGCGCCUGUCACAUGCAUACCUGGGUAAGUGGUUGUGGAUGAAGGAAAAACAGUCCACGGGGGCUGCCAUUUGAUUCCCAGAACAACAGUGUAAGUCAACAGCACAGGAAUAUGAGCCCCAACUUCCUGAAAAGAAAAAAAAAAAAGAAAAAAAAAAAGGCUCUUCCAGGAGCGCAGGGCCUUACUUUAAGAUCACCUGACCCCUGGAGCUGGCACCAGGGCUAUGGUGCAGUCUGGAAGCUCUGAGAUUCUCCAAAGGCAUGUCUCCCUUUGCAGCGGCUUGAAGUACCUCCUACACAGGUGCUUUCCAAGCAGUUCGUAAGAAGGCCCCUUUCAUCUCUCUGGUGCCCUAGCCCCACGCCCAGGCUUUGAAAGAGUUGGCCUAGCAAAUGAACUACAAUUACGUAGUAAUAAUGAUUCAAUUUUCUCAUUUUUUAUUAAUAAAAGACAUAUGUGAC